Molecule: unclassified non-coding RNA, 385 nt
Filed under: Hevea brasiliensis (rubber tree)
Lineage: Eukaryota; Viridiplantae; Streptophyta; Magnoliopsida; Malpighiales; Euphorbiaceae
Source: RNAcentral
GUCCUAAGCAAAUUCAAGUUCAACGCCUCAACUUUCCUCAAAACGACGGCAUUUCCACGGAGGUAAAGCGGAGUAGCAGAUUGCAAGAGCUUCCAGGGAGGCGAGGAGAGGAAGAGAGGGCCUCGCCCUUGACUUUGAAACGGAGCAAUCCAUUUGGAAAGAGGAGAGAAAAAGAGGGGAGGGGAAUGCGGAGAAGGAGAGUAAUGCAAGGGCUGGAGCGGUAAAGUAGCAGUAGUAUAGGGAAAUGGGAUUAUAGAGGUUGCUGCUGCAGUUAAGAAAGUCCUGUUUUUAUUAUGAUUUUUAGUGGUUAGGGUUCUUAGCGAUCUAUAGAUCACCAUUGAUGGAGCAUGUUACUGUUUUUCCAGGAUUUUUUUUUCCCUUCGAG